CUCAACUUCGCCUGGCAACACGAAUGUCGCUGAUCAGUGAGCUUCUGCAGUCCGUCUAUUGUCUGCAGUGGAGGAGGCUUUACAGGGUUAAACCUAGAAUAUUUCUUUAACUUACAUAAAUACACCAACACUCCUCUAAAGUGAUUUAUUGCCUGUGACGAGGAGGAGGGUGGGGCCGGGCCGUGAGUGCGCACGGCUGGUCCCCAAUCGGGCUAAUCAACCGAGGAGAGGGAUAAGGCCUAGCUGGAUGCGGCAGUUGGGGAGAGAGAGAGCCACACGCAGCUGCCAUGUGUGCAUUAAACAUUAUUUUGAUGGUUCGUCCGGUUCCCGCCUCCUCCUUGCCCAUUUUAAACCCUGUUACAUUGGUGCCGAAGCCCGGGAAGGAGGAGGGAUGCGCUGUCGUGGAGUCCUAACCACUGCCGUCCGCCCAAAGGAGCAGCCACGGCCAUCCGCCGGGGAACGGAGGAGUCGCUGCUGGCCAUCUGGAGCGAUAGAGCCGCUGCCAGGGGUGGAGGGGCUCGCUACCGGCCGCCAGAACGCAGAGGGGCAUUCCAUCCACCAGGGGUCGGAGGACUCUCUCUGGUCCGCCUGGGUAGGAGCGGCUGUCGUCCGCCAGAGAGUGGAGGAGUGGUCGAAGACCAGGUGACGGCGUGUCUGGGAAAUGGCAAGCAAUUUUUUUUCUCUCUCUUCUCUCUCUCUCUCACUGUCUCUCCGCCUCACUCUUUCCCUCUCCCCUUUUCCCUCCCCUUGUCUCCCUCCCAGGUCUAGAAAGGCGGGGAAAGCCGGGUUCCCCGGCCUGAGGCAAAGAUGGGAGGAGUGUGAUGAGGAGGGCAGGGCCGGCCCCCAAUUGGGCUAAUCAGCUGAGGAGAGGGAUAAGGCUGAGCCAGAUGCAACAGUUAGGGAGAGAGAGAGCCACAAGCAG
This is an RNA transcript of Myxocyprinus asiaticus (Chinese sucker), 922 nucleotides long. RefSeq lists it as uncharacterized. Lineage: Eukaryota; Metazoa; Chordata; Actinopteri; Cypriniformes; Catostomidae. The record is from RefSeq and is a predicted model, not a curated record. The transcript has 2 exons.